GAUGAAGAACGUAGCGAAAUGCGAUAAGUAAUGUGAAUUGCAGAAUUCAGUGAAUCAUCGAAUCUUUGAACGCACAUUGCGCCCGCCAGUAUUCUGGCGGGCAUGCCUGUUCGAGCGUCAUUUCAACCAUCAAGCCCUGCUUGCGUUGGGGUCCUGCGGCUGCCCGCAGGCCCUGAAAUCCAGUGGCGGGCUCGCUAGUCACACCGAGCGCAGUAAUACAUCUCGCUUUGGGCGUGCGGCGGGUUCUUGCCGUUAAACACCCCCUUUUUACCAAGGUUGACCUCGGAUCAGGUAGGAAUACCCGCUGAACUUAAGCAUAUCAAUAAGCGGAGGA
Molecule: unclassified non-coding RNA, 334 nt
Filed under: soil metagenome
Description: partial contains 5.8S ribosomal RNA, internal transcribed spacer 2, and large subunit ribosomal RNA
Rfam family: 5.8S ribosomal RNA (bases 1-120)
Source: RNAcentral